GCAUUUGUGGCCGCAUGGUUAAGGUAAUGGACUAGAAAUCCAUUGGUGUCUCCCCACACAGGUUCGAUCGAAUCCUGUCGACUACG
RNAcentral lists this transfer RNA (86 nucleotides) under Ixodes scapularis (black-legged tick). It matches the Rfam family "tRNA". Rfam says of the family: Transfer RNA (tRNA) molecules are approximately 80 nucleotides in length. Their secondary structure includes four short double-helical elements and three loops (D, anti-codon, and T loops). The record is from Rfam by way of RNAcentral. Lineage: Eukaryota; Metazoa; Arthropoda; Arachnida; Ixodida; Ixodidae.